This 71-nucleotide transfer RNA is filed under the name Camelus bactrianus (Bactrian camel). It matches the Rfam family "tRNA". From Rfam's summary of the family: Transfer RNA (tRNA) molecules are approximately 80 nucleotides in length. Their secondary structure includes four short double-helical elements and three loops (D, anti-codon, and T loops). Lineage: Eukaryota; Metazoa; Chordata; Mammalia; Artiodactyla; Camelidae. RNAcentral also lists the same sequence under 2 other names. The record is from Rfam by way of RNAcentral.
GAGGGUAGAGCUCAGUGGUAGAGUGCAUGCUUAGCAUGCAUGAGGUCCUAGGUUCAAUCCCCAUACCUCCA